This 1293-nucleotide long non-coding RNA is filed under the name Oncorhynchus kisutch (coho salmon). RNAcentral's name for it is "lncRNA (ENSOKIG00005007252.1)". Lineage: Eukaryota; Metazoa; Chordata; Actinopteri; Salmoniformes; Salmonidae. The record is from RNAcentral.
GAGUUCCAGGAGGAGCUGGCGUGGCCGGGAGAGCAGGAGGGGUACCCGGGGCUGGAUAUGGAGGUGAGUCCGUUUUGGCUUUGCCAAGGAAAUGUACUGUACUAUAUGCUACACAUUAUGUUGAUCUCUGUAAAGGGUAGCUUCCUAGACAGAGAUGAAGACUUAUCCUGGAAUAGAAAACAUUUUCAUUGGACAUUCUCCUAACCGCCCCCCAAUUGUUUUAGUGAGUUCAUAAAUCAGGGAUGAUGUCUUUCAUUUAUAAAUUUUUUGCAUGUCAGGACAUAAUCCUGCUGCGGCCAAAGCUGCUAAAUAUGGUAAGAAAAAACACAGAAACAUCAGAGUUAAACUUCUGUCUACUUUUAACUAACUAUAAUUUUCUUGUGACCCUCCACCACAGGAGUUCCAGGAGGUGCAGGAGCAGGCCUAGGAGCUGGAGGACUUGGAGGAGCAGGAGGAGGGGUACCAGGGGCUGGAGGACUUGGAGGAGCAGGAGGAGGGGUACCAGGGGCUGGAGGAUAUAACCCUGCUGCGGCCAAAGCUGCUAAAUAUGGUAAGAUCACUCAAAACAAUCAAUCUCAUUCAUUAUUGGUACAUUGGUUGAAUUUACGUCUGUCUUAAGUCGUGGUGUGACAAGUCUACUGUAUCUUUGGCAGUUCUGAAGCUAGCUAUAAAAUCCAAUUGUUUUCUUGUGGCCCUCUACCACAGGAGUCCCCGGAGGUGCAGGAGCAGGAAUAGGAGCAGGAGGAUUACCAGGAGGAGGAUUACCAGGAGGAGGAGGGGGGGGUGUAACUGGGGCUGGUGGAUAUAAUCCCGCUGCAGCCAAAGCUGCUAAAUAUGGAGUCUCAGGAGGUGUAGGAACAGGCUUGGGAGCAGGAGGAGUACAGGGUGGAGUAGGAGCUGGAGGAUAUGAUCCCGCGGCCAAAGCUGCUAAAUAUGGUAAGCCAAACGGGGUGGGCAUCGGUGGAGAAGGUGUGCCAGCGCCAGCAGCGACUCCAAGUCCAGGUGUGGGCGUGGGUGGUGGUGUUGGAGGAACUGCCAUUGAGCGCACUGACUUACCAGUGGGCACAGGGAUACCUAUCGCAGGCAAACCAGGUGCCACAGGAUUACCAGGAGUUGGUGCUGGGGUUCUUCAACCUAGUGGUGUGGGUGUCGGAGCAGGUGGCAAAGCUCCUAAACCGCCUGGUGCAGGGGGAUACCCGUAUGGUGGUUAUGGACAGGGUAUGUAUGAGAGAGGAGAAGAGCAAACCACAACCUUAUCACUGCACUAGCAGCAAGCAGACACACUCUGCUUAA